UACGUAGGGGGCAAGCGUUGUCCGGAAUCAUUGGGCGUAAAGAGCGCGUAGGCGGCCCUGUAAGUCCGCUGUGAAAGUCAAGGGCUCAACCCUUGGAUGCCGGUGGAUACUGCAGGGCUAGAGUCCGGAAGAGGCGAGUGGAAUUCCUGGUGUAGCGGUGAAAUGCGCAGAUAUCAGGAGGAACACCGAUGGCGAAGGCAGGUCUCUGGGCAUUAACUGACGCUGAGGAGCGAAAGCAUGGGGAGCGAACAGG
Molecule: ribosomal RNA, 253 nt
Filed under: uncultured bacterium
Lineage: Bacteria
Description: partial 16S ribosomal RNA
Rfam family: Bacterial small subunit ribosomal RNA
Source: RNAcentral